GCGUUUAGAUAGCAUGCAUGUGUAGUUUAAGACCAAGUAGGAUGAAACUGCGGACGGCUCAUUAUAACAGUAAUAGUUUCUUUGGUUAGUCGGUACAAGGAUAACUUUGUGAAUGAUAAAGCUAAUACUUGAGACGAUCCGGGAAGUAUUUUACUUUCCGGGCCUCUGAUGCCAGUGUGGGGAAAAACGACCUUUUUCUGUGAAAAAGGAUGCCCCGACCAUUGGAGAAAGCCACCCUUUUGACCAGUAACCAAUGGGAAUUUCCGAAUCAUUCAUUUGGUGGUAAUAUUCAGGAAUACCCAGAAUAAAAAGGAAAACCAAGAAUUGGGGGUCGAACUUGGAAAAGGAGCUUUACCGAUGGGCACCAAUUUUAAAGAAGGGAGGAAGGGCCUAAAUUACCCAUUUCCACCCGAAGAGGUAGUGACGACAAUAAUCUUGGCGCCCUCGGGUGACUUGAGGAAUGAUUAAAAGCAAUUCUCUAAGAAUCAUUGGAGGCAGUCUGGUGCAGCAGCCGCGUAAUUCAGUCCC
Molecule: ribosomal RNA, 528 nt
Filed under: Entamoeba bovis
Lineage: Eukaryota; Evosea; Mastigamoebida; Endamoebidae
Description: SSU rRNA
Rfam family: Eukaryotic small subunit ribosomal RNA
Source: RNAcentral